RNAcentral lists this small nucleolar RNA (98 nucleotides) under Diaporthe helianthi. Its description in RNAcentral is "A. fumigatus snoRNA Afu_264". It matches the Rfam family "A. fumigatus snoRNA Afu_264". Lineage: Eukaryota; Fungi; Ascomycota; Sordariomycetes; Diaporthales; Diaporthaceae. The record is from Rfam by way of RNAcentral.
UCAAGUGAUGAUCAUCAACCUAAUUUUUAAUUACUAUUCUGGUACCUCUUAUGUUAGGCUUCCUUCGGGAUUCCGAUGAAUGUAAUGGACUUCUGACA